CAGAGCUAGCAUUAUUGUCCCCGCCUCAAAGACCCUACAACAACACGCACAGCGUCAUCUCUUCGGGCAGCAAAGAGAACCUGCCGGGGGACGUGAUCACCCCGUGCAGCCGCUGCUCCAGGAAGCUGCUCCUGGCAGGCGCCGCGUCCUUCGCGUUCUGCCUCCUGUCCGUCGCCGCGUGCCUCCUACUGCGCUUCCUCCUUCGGCGCUGGUGCCGUCGCCGCCGCGGUCCAGGUCUCGUGCAGCAGGAGGAGGAGGAGGCGCAGCUAAAGCUCGGCGGCGGCGGCGGCCUUGACGCCGAAGCCAUUGCUCUGCUGCCUUCUUCCUUCCCGUACCACCGGCGAGGCAACGAC
Molecule: unclassified non-coding RNA, 353 nt
Filed under: Zea mays
Lineage: Eukaryota; Viridiplantae; Streptophyta; Magnoliopsida; Poales; Poaceae
Description: misc RNA Zm00001eb338400
Source: RNAcentral